AAAAGGGGGGCAACUCCCUGAGUACAGCGGCGCACGGGUGAGUAACACGUGGGUAAUCUGCCCUGAAGUGGGGAAUAACACCGGGAAACCGGUGCUAAUACCGCAUAUGAUCGCUGGGUCUGCGGAUCUUGUGAUUAAAGGAGCAAUUCGCUUUAGGAGGAGCCCGCGGCUGAUUAGCUAGUUGGUGAGGUAAUGGCUCACCAAGGCAACGAUCAGUAGCCGGUCUGAGAGGACGGUCGGCCACACUGGAACUGAGACACGGUCCAGACUCCUACGGGAGGCAGCAGUGGGGAAUUUUUGGCAAUGGGGGCAACCCUGACCAAGCAACGCCGCGUGGGUGAUGAAGUCUCUUGGGACGUAAAACCCUUUCGACGGGGAAGAAACCGCAAGGUUGACGGUACCCGUAGAAGAAGCCCCGGCUAACUCCGUGCCAGCAGCCGCGGUAAUACGGGGGGGGCAAGCGUUGUUCGGAAUUACUGGGCGUAAAGGGCGCGUAGGCGGUUCGCUAAGUUGGAUGUGAAAACUCUGGGCUCAACCCAGAGCCUGCAUCCAAAACUGGCGGGCUAGAGUUCUGGAGGGGGUAGCGGAAUUCCUGGUGUAGCGGUGAAAUGCGUAGAUAUCAGGAGGAACACCGGUGGCGAAGGCGGCUACCUGGACAGAAACUGACGCUGAGGCGCGAAAGCUAGGGGAGCAAACAGGAUUAGAUACCCUGGUAGUCCUAGCCCUAAACGAUGGAUACUUGGUGUGACGGGGAUUGAAUCCCGUCGUGCCGAAGCUAACGCAUUAAGUAUCCCGCCUGGGGAGUACGGUCGCAAGGCUGAAACUC
RNAcentral lists this ribosomal RNA (826 nucleotides) under uncultured Bacillota bacterium. RNAcentral describes it as "bacterial SSU rRNA". It matches the Rfam family "Bacterial small subunit ribosomal RNA", at positions 70 to 902 of the family's 1533-position model. The record is from RNAcentral. Lineage: Bacteria; Bacillati; Bacillota.